Molecule: long non-coding RNA, 895 nt
Organism: Apis laboriosa (Himalayan honeybee)
Lineage: Eukaryota; Metazoa; Arthropoda; Insecta; Hymenoptera; Apidae
Exons: 4
Source: RefSeq, a predicted model, not a curated record
CUCGUAUCGGCUGCCAGUGUCUUUCUGACGUGUGUUCUCAUUAGUCGACGACGAAGUGGAGUGACAAGGAACCUAUGUCCAGGAAUCGUGGAAAUACCAACCUCUGUAGUCCGCUUCUUGCAUUUGUCACUGGCUGCGAAUAUGUUCAAUUGAGUGGAGCCCGGAGGCAGAGGGCACUGAUCUAUGUCCAGCCUGCGUAGGUCGAUAUCUAUCCCACUCGUUCCCCUGAAAUGAAUAAUCGAAGAGAUAAGAGUUUCGUUCGAGAAAAAAGUAUUUUCAGAUAAGAGAAAUAUAAAAAUAAAGGAAAGAAGAUAUAUGGGACAGAGAUAUAAAAGGAGGGACAGAGAUAGAUAGAUAGAUAGAGAGAGAGAGAGAGAGAGAGAGAGAGACAGAUAAUAAAGAAAAUGAAAGAAGAAAAAAGCGAAUAAAAGAUAACGGAAAAAUGUUCAAGUGGUAGUAUAAAAGAGAGCAUUGCAAAGCGAACAGCAUUAUAAUUAUAAAAAUUGAUCUGGAGAAAUCAAAUUUUGUGGGAAUUCAUUUUGAAUUAUUAUUUUUGAAUUAUUUCAUAGAGCGACUAUCACUUCCGGCAACAAUGUCGGACAACGAGCAACAAAACGAGCAACAAAACACGAACAAUGCAAACGCCGAAGAUGAUAAAGUCAAAAAUGUUAACAAUAACAGCGAAAAUAAUCAAAAUAAAAAAACAGAGACAAUAAGUCGAAGUGAAAGAAGUAUAAUUGAUCCUGGAACGCCAUCAUACGACCUUAAUCAUAAAGGUGAAAUGGUUGAAAGGAUUGAUUAAAUGAAAUUAAUAAGAGUGCUCAAAAAGAUAAUUAAUGUAAAGUGAAAAAUUUUCAUUUAGAUAAAAAAAAAAUAAAUUUUCAUUUCAAAAAAU